CGGGCGUAGGAAAUUUGAGAGGAUCUGCUCCUAGUACGAGAGGACCAGAGUGGACUUACCGCUGGUGUACCAGUUGUCUUGCCAAAGGCAUCGCUGGGUAGCUAUGUAGGGAAGGGAUAAACGCUGAAAGCAUCUAAGUGUGAAACCCACCUCAAGAUGAGAUUUCCCAUGAUUAUAUAUCAGUAAGAGCCCUGAGAGAUGAUCAGGUAGAUAGGUUAGAAGUAGAAGUGUGGCGACACAUGUAGCGGACUAAUACUAAUAGCUCGAGGACUUAUCCAA
RNAcentral lists this ribosomal RNA (279 nucleotides) under Streptococcus pneumoniae. RNAcentral's name for it is "partial 23S ribosomal RNA". It matches the Rfam family "Bacterial large subunit ribosomal RNA", at positions 2648 to 2925 of the family's 2925-position model. The record is from RNAcentral. Lineage: Bacteria; Bacillati; Bacillota; Bacilli; Lactobacillales; Streptococcaceae.